RNAcentral lists this ribosomal RNA (575 nucleotides) under uncultured crenarchaeote. RNAcentral describes it as "bacterial SSU rRNA". It matches the Rfam family "Archaeal small subunit ribosomal RNA", at positions 349 to 923 of the family's 1478-position model. Lineage: Archaea; Thermoproteati; Thermoproteota. The record is from RNAcentral.
UCCGCAAAUACGCGAAAGCGUGACGGGGUUUACCCCGAGUGCCGUCCGCUGAGGGUGGCUUUUCCGCAGUGUAAUCAGCUGUGGGUAAUAAGGGGAGGGCAAGACUGGUGUCAGCCGCCGCGGUAACACCGGCUCCCCGAGUGGUAGGGAUGAUUAUUGGGCUUAAAGCGUUCGUAGCCGGCCUUACAAGUCUUCCGUUAAAUCCAACGACCUAAUCGUUGGGCCGCGGGAGACACUAUGAGGCUAGGGGGCGGGAGAGGUCGACGGUAUUCCAGGGGUAGGGGUGAAAUCCUAUAAUCCUUGGAGGACCACCAGUGGCGAAGGCGGUCGACCAGAACGCGCUCGACGGUGAGGGACGAAAGCUGGGGGAGCGAACCGGAUUAGAUACCCGGGUAGUCCCAGCUGUGAACGAUGCGGGCUAGGUGUUAGGGCAGAUAAGUUCCGCCCCGGUGCCGCAGGGAAACCGUUAAGCCCGCCGCCUGGGAAGUACGGUCGCAAGGCUGAAACUUAAAGGAAUUGGCGGGGGAGCACCACAAGGCGUGAAGCUUGCGGUUUAAUAGGAUUCAACGCCGGAU